Molecule: long non-coding RNA, 1346 nt
Filed under: Monodelphis domestica (gray short-tailed opossum)
Lineage: Eukaryota; Metazoa; Chordata; Mammalia; Didelphimorphia; Didelphidae
Description: lncRNA (ENSMODG00000051376.1)
Source: RNAcentral
UUGAAAGAUUAUCCAGAUGUUAUUAAGUAUUCUGUCAUUGCUAUGGGUGAUACACUUGAGAGGCUGCAAUAAAUAACUGCUUUGAUUACAAAAAUUUUCCUGAUUCACAAAACAAAGUACUUUAGUUCAAUUUCUCACUUGGCACACUCUGUUUGACUCCUCCAGUGAAUUAAAACACAUGAACACUCUCUAGACUAUGUUCCAAUGCUUUGGGGAGCAGGGAGAGAUUAAUAAGACCUUAAACUUCAUGAGGGCAAUGGAAAUCACUCAUUUAACCUUUAUUACAUGCCCAACCAAUGUUCUGGCCAUAGUAGCCAAUCAACUUUUUAAAAUGAAUGCAUUGUGAUUGAAGCUGAGCUGGUGUAAUGCAUCUGGAGAUCCCGUUUAGAGAUGGUACGCUAAUGUAUUAUGGAAGGUCCCUGCUUCCCAAUUUGGAGCAUGGGCAGCAAUAUAUAAUUUAAUUAAUUAAUUGUGUUGUUUUUUUUAUUCUAUGUCAAGCUUUUCCUAAUUGCUUUUACUUUAUUUUUUAUUAUUUUAAUGACUUAUUUAUGGACUGACUUAUUAUAACUGGUUCAUUCUCCAGUAACCAUGUGGCAAAGAGACAAACCAUUGACUGGAUGUUGAGCUGGACCCAAGAUGCAUUUGGGAGGCACCAAUGGGCCAAAGUGUAAUUCCUGAUCUUUCUCCUUCCUUCCUGGCUGCUGACAGGGUUAGAGAAACCAUGGUUUGGGUGGGAAAAUUUUUCUACAACUUGGAGCUCUCCUGCUUUACAUUCCCUAUGAUGAUUAUGACUGUAAAGUAAGGUGUGGGAAUAGCAAAACCCCAAAUUCUGUGUAAACCUUAAGAAGUCUGCUCUUUAAUUACCAUGUCUGCUGGUCUCAGAAACUAGUCCUUGCCAGAUAAGUCAGCAGGGAUAAUCUAUACAUUUUGAAAUGUUCUUUAUAUUUUUUGGUGGAUUUUCACAACCUGCCAGACACAAUUAAACCAAAUCAGGAACCAUAUUAGUUGAUGUUGCCAACUUUUUAUUGAAUUAAAAAGUCACCAUUUAUUAUUCCAGAUCUUUCUAGUGAAAAUAUCUUGGAGUCACAGGUACCAUAUUAAUAGCUUAGUUUUCUUUUUGUUUCUUUUGUUUCUCACCUAAUUUUCUAUGAAUAGAAGGAAAUUUACUGAGGAACCUUCUGAUUUGAAAGAUUCCUCUGUUCAAAUUUUAAAUUGUAAUGAAUUAUGUUAUAAAAGAUUGGUUAAAAACCCAUUGAUUUCUAAAGGGCUUCUAUAGUAGAAAUACAAUAAUAGCCGACAGUUACAUUAAUCUGUCAUGUUUGCAAAAUGCUUUUAUACAUUCCCUC